RNAcentral lists this unclassified non-coding RNA (653 nucleotides) under Hevea brasiliensis (rubber tree). Lineage: Eukaryota; Viridiplantae; Streptophyta; Magnoliopsida; Malpighiales; Euphorbiaceae. The record is from RNAcentral.
GACAUUAGUGAUUCCCCUACUAACAAUCUAGCAAUGUUCUCGAUUUUAUUAUUUAUGGUCGAAGUAGCUAUCAACGGCAGAGGAAGUUGCUAGCACUAUCUAACGACUCUGUUUGUAUUAGUGUCCUCUGCACACUGCGCCUCUAGGAAAGGCUCAACUCAAUCCCAACAUGGUUCUCUGUAACUGGACGAAUUCGGUUUUAGAACUUCCCUCUCUUUUGGCUAUUGAUGACCAGUCUUGACUUCAGGCGGUUCCACCACUAGGGGGUAAUAAAAAGCACUGUUGGGGUUCCGGCCAAGCGAGCAUCUCAAUACAAUACCCAACUUUCUGUUUAAGCCCACUUUAUUGACUGAUAGUUUAUCUUCCGAACCGGUUAAAGACCUAGCCACGAGACCAACUCCGGCUCCGGGCAGUCGUAAAAAAAAAGAUCAAUUCCCAGAUGCUCUUCCUCGACGUCCCACAGCGCAUUCAAUGGCAAACAAAGCACCGGGGAAUUUCAUUCUAACAACAGCGGAUGCGUUGAGGAGACCAAGAGCGUCUAGAGCUUCUAUUGCACCUGCACCAACAGCUUAUUCUCAUACUCCCACACCGGUUACUGGUUGACCGGAUACGAGAACUCUUGUACCGGGAAUUCAACUAACUGCUGAUUCCGG